Etheostoma spectabile (orangethroat darter) is the source of this 213-nucleotide long non-coding RNA. RefSeq lists it as uncharacterized. Lineage: Eukaryota; Metazoa; Chordata; Actinopteri; Perciformes; Percidae. The transcript is spliced from 3 exons. The record is from RefSeq and is a predicted model, not a curated record.
CUGACAGCUGAAUGCCAACACAGACAGACAAAAACAGAUUUGCUCCGGAUACACCACUGAGGCUCCACUUUUAUUCUCGGCCUCAAAUCUACAACCCUCAGAGAAAUGGUGUGAUUGAUCAUCAAUGCCUGCAGGUAUGUGGUGCUAAAGAUCCGGGCUGCAGUGAGAGGCGAUGGGCAGCCAGAGAAAACAAGCACCACACCAUGUGGCCAG